AGAAAAAAUACAAAAAAUUACCAGAGCUGGUGUUAAUCAAGAAACAAUUCAACCUGGAGGUAUGAAAGUUUGGUCUGAUCCUUUUGAUAGGAAAAAGAAUUAAGUUGAAUGAUAACUAAAAAUAUUGUACAUUUGUUACAUAUUAAUCAUGCUGUCUAGAGAAUGCAAUUGCAUGCAUGAAACAUCAUGCAUCUUUGUUUGUAUUAAAUUAAAGCAUGCUUGCCCUGACUAGGGUCAACAAUUUUUUUGUUGUACAUAACGUAAAUAAAAAUUAGUGUUCCUUUACUGAA
Molecule: non-coding RNA, 290 nt
Organism: Parasteatoda tepidariorum (common house spider)
Lineage: Eukaryota; Metazoa; Arthropoda; Arachnida; Araneae; Theridiidae
Source: RefSeq, a predicted model, not a curated record